This 380-nucleotide ribosomal RNA is filed under the name uncultured eukaryote. RNAcentral's name for it is "partial 18S ribosomal RNA". It matches the Rfam family "Eukaryotic small subunit ribosomal RNA", at positions 592 to 976 of the family's 1831-position model. The record is from RNAcentral.
CAAUAGCGUAUAUUAAAGUUGUUGCGGUUAAAAAGCUCGUAGUUGGAUUUCUGCCGAGGACGACCGGUCCGCCCUCCGGGUGAGUAUCUGGUUUGGCCUGGGCAUCUUCUUGGAGAACGUAGCUGCACUUGACUGUGUGGUGCGGUGUCCAGGACUUUUACUUUGAGGAAAUUAGAGUGUUUCAAGCAGGCACACGCCUUGAAUACAUUAGCAUGGAAUAAUAAGAUAGGACCUCGGUUCUAUUUUGUUGGUUUCUAGAGCUGAGGUAAUGAUUAAUAGGGAUAGUUGGGGGCAUUCGUAUUUAACUGUCAGAGGUGAAAUUCCUGGAUUUGUUAAAGACGGACUACUGCGAAAGCAUUUGCCAAGGAUGUUUUCAUUGA